GGGGAUUUAGCUCAGUGGUAAAGCACUUGCCUAGCAAGCAUAAAGCUCUAGGUUCAGUCCCCA
This 63-nucleotide transfer RNA is filed under the name Mus musculus (house mouse). It matches the Rfam family "tRNA". Rfam says of the family: Transfer RNA (tRNA) molecules are approximately 80 nucleotides in length. Their secondary structure includes four short double-helical elements and three loops (D, anti-codon, and T loops). Lineage: Eukaryota; Metazoa; Chordata; Mammalia; Rodentia; Muridae. RNAcentral also lists the same sequence under 1 other name. The record is from Rfam by way of RNAcentral.